This 327-nucleotide ribosomal RNA is filed under the name uncultured eukaryote. RNAcentral describes it as "partial 18S ribosomal RNA". It matches the Rfam family "Eukaryotic small subunit ribosomal RNA", at positions 1470 to 1796 of the family's 1831-position model. The record is from RNAcentral.
CCCUUAGAUGUUCUGGGCUGCACGCGCGCUACACUGAAGCGUUCAACGAGUAUUCACCUUGCCCGGGAGGGUUGGGUGAUCUUUUGAAAACGCUUCGUGAUGGGGAUAGAUUAUUGCAAUUAUUAAUCUUCAACGAGGAAUUCCUAGUAAGCGCGAGUCAUCAGCUCGUGCUGAUUACGUCCCUGCCCUUUGUACACACCGCCCGUCACACCUACCGAUUGAAUGGUCCGGUGAAGUCUUGGGAUUUUGUUUUGUUUGCAUUUAUUUGUAUCGAGACGAGAGAACUUGAGUAAACCUUACCAUUUAGAGGAAGGUGAAGUCGUAACA